RNAcentral lists this transfer RNA (70 nucleotides) under Camelus bactrianus (Bactrian camel). It matches the Rfam family "tRNA". From Rfam's summary of the family: Transfer RNA (tRNA) molecules are approximately 80 nucleotides in length. Lineage: Eukaryota; Metazoa; Chordata; Mammalia; Artiodactyla; Camelidae. The record is from Rfam by way of RNAcentral. RNAcentral also lists the same sequence under 1 other name.
GGGUAUAUCUCAGUGGUAAAGUGCAUGCUUAGCAUGCAUGAGGUCUUAGGUUCAACUCCCAGUACUUCCA